RNAcentral lists this long non-coding RNA (1665 nucleotides) under Salmo salar (Atlantic salmon). RNAcentral describes it as "lncRNA (ENSSSAG00000089118.1)". Lineage: Eukaryota; Metazoa; Chordata; Actinopteri; Salmoniformes; Salmonidae. The record is from RNAcentral.
AGGAGACAGAGGACCGAGCCAGGACAUCAGUAGUGAGGAGGAGACAGAGGACCGAGCCAGGACAUCAGUAUUGAGGAGGAGAUGGAGAGGACCGAGCCAGGACAUCAGUAGUGAGGAGGAGACAGAGGACCGAGCCAGGACAUCAGUAUUGAGGAGGAGAUGGAGAGGACCGAGCUAGGACAUCAGUAGUGAGGAGGAGACAGAGGACCGAGCCAGGACAUCAGUAUUGAGGAGGAGAUGGAGAGGACCGAGCCAGGCCGUCAGUAUUGAGGAGGAGAUGGAGAGGACCGAGCCAGGACAUCAGUAUUGAGGAGGAGAUGGAGAGGACCGAGCCAGGCCGUCAGUAUUGAGGAGGAGUUGGAGAGGACCGAGCCAGGACAUCAGUAUUGAGGAGGAGUUAGAGAGGACCGAGCCAGGUCGUCAGUAUUGAGGAGGAGAUGGAGAGGACCGAGCCAGGUCGUCAGUAUUGAGGAGGAGUUGGAGAGGACCGAGCCAGGCCGUCAGUAUUGAGGAGGAGAUAGAGAGGACCGAGCCAGGUCGUCAGUAUUGAGGAGGAGAUGGAGAGGACCGAGCCAGGUCGUCAGUAUUGAGGAGGAGUUGGAGAGGACCGAGCCAGGCCGUCAGUAUUGAGGAGGAGUUGGAGAGGACCGAGCCAGGCCGUCAGUAUUGAGGAGGAGUUGGAGAGGACCGAGCCAGGCCGUCAGUAUUGAGGAGGAGUUGGAGAGGACCGAGCCAGGCCGUCAGUAUUGAGGAGGAGUUGGAGAGGACCGAGCCAGGUCGUCAGUACUGAGGAGGAGUUAGAGUGGACUGAGCCAGGCAUAGCUAGUACUGGCACAACAGCAGUUAAUCUAACUACAUGUUCUCUUGAACACGCUACGACACGUGUAGGAGUGUAUGAGUGUGAGAUGAUGGGAGGGGCUGUUUUCACAAUCUGACACUGUGUUCCAGGUUUAUAGGCCAAUGGCAGGAGAGACACGCUCAAAGACAUCAAAGAAUAUUACAGUUCAUCACCCGCCCCCCCUCCCCACCUACAGUGUAAUGACAUUUAGCCAAUCCUAUAAAAAUCCCAAGAAACCUGUGGGUAUAAAUCAAUUGCUUUCCAGCUGCUUCUCACAUCCAUUAUUUAACAAGCACCGCUUCCACAUCAUAUUCCAUAGGCAGCCAUUUCCACAACACACACACCAAAACCCACAUCAGAAGAAACACCAACAUGCUAGAUAACUUCACAAACCCCCUAGCCCUGUGGAAAAGAGGAUCAGUGUGUGUAUGUGCUGACAAGCCAGUUUACAUCAAAUCCCAUUAGUUUGAAUCCAGGCAAACUGUUAAGUGUGUUGGUUCCAACCUGGUGCUCUGUUACUCUCUCCUAUCGGACACACCUGUCAGGGACCAGGCUUCCAGCAGCAUCACCACAGUCUCUAAGGCUGUCCACAUCUGACGCCUGUACGUUAGCUACCACAGCCUCCAAUCAGAUAUACUAGGGCAUAGUUUAUACAGUGUGUGUGUGUGUGUGUGUGUGUGUGUGUGUGUGUGUGUGUGUGUGUGUGCAUGCGUGCGCGUGUGCAUGGGUAGUUGUAGGGCAACAGGAAGCGAUGAGGGGGGCUCUGGUUCCAACAGCAGUCACAGAGUACCCUCUUCAGGCAGGUCGGGAGAACUUCAGGCCAGGGA